Molecule: ribosomal RNA, 517 nt
Filed under: uncultured bacterium
Lineage: Bacteria
Description: partial 16S ribosomal RNA
Rfam family: Bacterial small subunit ribosomal RNA
Source: RNAcentral
GACGAACGCUGGCGGCGUGCCUAAUACAUGCAAGUCGAGCGGACCGGAUUGGGGCUUGCCUUGAUUCGGUCAGCGGCGGACGGGUGAGUAACACGUGGGCAACCUGCCCGCAAGACCGGGAUAACUCCGGGAAACCGGAGCUAAUACCGGAUAACACCGAAGACCGCAUGGUCUUCGGUUGAAAGGCGGCCUUUGGGCUGUCACUUCCGGAUGGGCCCGCGGCGCAUUAGCUAGUGGGUGAGGUAACGGCUCACCAAGGCGACGAUGCGUAGCCGGCCUGAGAGGGUGACCGGCCACACUGGGACUGAGACACGGCCCAGACUCCUACGGGAGGCAGCAGUAGGGAAUCUUCCGCAAUGGGCGAAAGCCUGACGGAGCGACGCCGCGUGAGCGAAGAAGGCCUUCGGGUCGUAAAGCUCUGUUGUGAGGGACGAAGGAGCGCCGUUCGAAGAGGGCGGCGCGGUGACGGUACCUCACGAGAAAGCCCCGGCUAACUACGUGCCAGCAGCCGCGGUAA